CGAAAGCCUGACGGAGCAACGCCGCGUGAGGGACGAAGGCCUCUGGGCUGUAAACCUCUUUUCUCAAGGAAGAAGACCUGACGGUACUUGAGGAAUAAGCCACGGCUAAUUCCGUGCCAGCAGCCGCGGUAAUACGGGAGUGGCAAGCGUUAUCCGGAAUUAUUGGGCGUAAAGCGUCCGCAGGCGGCCGAUCAAGUCUGCUGUUAAAGCGUGGAGCUUAACUCCAUAAUGGCAGUGGAAACUGAUUGGCUGGAGUGUGGUAGGGGCAGAGGGAAUUCCCGGUGUAGCGGUGAAAUGCGUAGAUAUCGUGAGGAACACUAGUGGCGAAGGCGAGAUGCUGGACAGUAACUGACGCUGAGAGACGAAGGCCAGGGUAGCG
RNAcentral lists this ribosomal RNA (379 nucleotides) under uncultured cyanobacterium. Its description in RNAcentral is "bacterial SSU rRNA". It matches the Rfam family "Bacterial small subunit ribosomal RNA", at positions 376 to 770 of the family's 1533-position model. The record is from RNAcentral. Lineage: Bacteria; Bacillati; Cyanobacteriota.